GAAGAAUCGCCUGAACCUGGGAGGCCGAGGUUGCAGUGAGCCAAGAUCGUGCCAUUGCACUCCAGCCUGGGCAACAGAGAGAGGCUCUGUCUCAAAAAAAGAAAAAAAAUUAACAAAUCUAAAAUAUUACAUGUAAUGUAUUAUCUAUUUUGACAAUUGUUCCACAAAUGUAUUUUAUGGUCUUUUUAAAAAGUCCAAUCAAAGUUCAUGCAUUACACUUGGUUGUUAGGUUUUCUUCAGUUCAGAGAUUCUCACCUUGGUCACAUUUUGGAAUCAAUCAGUCAAGUAGCCUUAAGAAAUAUGGGCUCCAUCCCUAGAGACCUUAAUUUAACUGUUUUGGGUGUGGUCUGACCAUUGGGUUUUAAAAAUCUUCCUCAGGCAUUUCUAAAAUUCAUCAAAAUUUGAGAAAAACAGCUUUAGUCUCUUAGUCUACAACAGUCUCCCUUUUUUACUUUGAUAUUGAUCCAAACUUACUUGAUGCACUAAGUCCAUAUCUACUUGGCCUAAGAACUUUGACUUCCCUCUCCAUCAAAGUCUUUUUCAGCUGCUUCUGGGAGUCCUUGGGAUUGGUGGUGGUGUACUUGUAGUGUGAAUCAUUCUUUGUUCCAGCCUUUUUUUUUUUUUAAAUCAUUACCUUGCUCCAGGCUAAUCAGUACCACUUGGCCCAUUGUUCAAAUUGCUGCAUUUCCCGGAUCAUGAUUUUCCUAGGGUCUAUGUAGAACUACCAUCAAUGGACGUUACUGGUGGGAUUUUUUUUCCUCUUUAUUACUUUGGUCUGAGCAUGGACACACCAUGCUAAUGCCAGGGAUAAUAUGCAUCAACAUUUAACUAAAGGCUUGAGGAUUAUAUAUAGAAAAGUUCCCAACUUGCUAUUCUAUGUGAUUGUUCUGAGCACAAGACCUUUGGUAUGUCCUAAGAGGGUCCCAUAUCGAGCAAGUGGUGUUACAACUACUUCCAGGCUUACCAAAAAACUGCCUCCUUCACCAACUCCAGGGUUGCCUCCACAUCUGGCGACACGAAUGCUUCCCAGAGUAGCUGUAGGCUGCUUCACUGCUCAAUGAUAGAACCGCAUAGCCCUCUGCGACUUUGACUUUGGGCUUGGUGAUGUGACUUGUUUGCCAAUGGGACAUCAACAAAUAUGACACAAGCCAAGGCUUCAUAAGCAUUUGUGCAUGGGCCUUGCUCUCUUGGAAUGCUUCCACUGCCAUAAAAGAAAACCAGGCAAUUCCACUGGAGAGGUUAUGAGAGGGGGAAUAGAGGAGGCUAUCAAGCCCCAAAUGAACUACCAGAUGACCCAGCCGAGUGAGUGACCCCAGGAUUGCUCAGUGGAGACCUGCCCGAAUUGCAGAAUCAUGAGUAAAUAAUGAUGUUUUAAACCUCUCUGUUCUAUUGAUGAUUGUAGUUUGAAAUAGAAAAAUGAAAAAUAAAUAAAUAAAACCCCUCUAUGUUUUGGAGUGGUUUGUCAUUCACUAAUAGAAAAUAGAUACACUUCAUUUUAAGGGACUUCCCCAGAAGUCCCAACCAAUGACAUCUGUUUACAUUUUG
This 1545-nucleotide long non-coding RNA is filed under the name Homo sapiens (human). Its description in RNAcentral is "HSALNT0363962". Lineage: Eukaryota; Metazoa; Chordata; Mammalia; Primates; Hominidae. The record is from RNAcentral.